Non-coding RNA from Myotis brandtii (Brandt's bat), 76 nucleotides. NCBI's taxonomy places the organism in Eukaryota, Metazoa, Chordata, Mammalia, Chiroptera, Vespertilionidae. The record is from Rfam.
GGCAGUUCUUGGGUGAUGCACCCUGGAACCAGAGAGGAGGGAGCUCAAUUCCGGGGUGCAUCACCUGAGAACUGCC